This 252-nucleotide ribosomal RNA is filed under the name uncultured bacterium. Its description in RNAcentral is "partial 16S ribosomal RNA". It matches the Rfam family "Bacterial small subunit ribosomal RNA", at positions 524 to 776 of the family's 1533-position model. The record is from RNAcentral.
UACAGAGGCCUCGAGCGUUAAUCGGAGUCACUGGGCUUAAAGGGUGCGUAGGCUGGUCCGCAAGUGUCUUGUGAAAUCCCACGGCUCAACCGUGGAAUGGCUCGACAGACUGCGGGUCUGAGGUCGGUAGGGGUCGCUGGAACUCUAGGUGGAGCGGUGAAAUGCGUAGAUAUCUAGAGGAACGCCAAAGGUGAAGACAAGCGACUGGGCCGAUUCUGACGCUGAGGCACGAAAGCGUGGGGAGCGAACGGG